This is a long non-coding RNA of Gadus chalcogrammus (walleye pollock), 1483 nucleotides long. RefSeq lists it as uncharacterized. The record is from RefSeq and is a predicted model, not a curated record. Lineage: Eukaryota; Metazoa; Chordata; Actinopteri; Gadiformes; Gadidae. The transcript is spliced from 3 exons.
CCACAGCUACAUUAACGUGCGCCACUUUGCUUUCACUAACUUAGCCUACUGAUCUUUUGAUCAGCUUAUGCUUAAUUAAGGGAGUAUAGUUUAAAUAUUUUUUUAAACAUAAUAAUUGCUUGUUCGUGUUUUCCUUUACUUUUUGACUCCUGCACCCGGACAAGUGUGGCCGCCAACGAGAGAGCUUCAACGAGGACCACCGCAGUGAGUUUGCUGACCAAAGCUUCAUUGGGCCCCUGCGACCGAGAUUUAUUCAAUAUGCGGGGGGCCCCCCUUUGGGGCCCCCCGUAGAAGACUUAAGACUGGUAGCCGAGGUAUACGGAGGACGUACUCGAAGUAUUUGUCUGGGGUUCGCGGUCGGCGGUGCUCUUCUGGUCCAGCGCUUUGCAGUCGGUAUCGAUUCUGGGCUGACCACCCAUUCCUUUUGAACCUCGUCUGGUACAGCCCCACUGUGCUGUCUUGUACCAUGAUGUUGUUCUUGUGCAACCGCAGCACUUUGCUGUAGCCCAGCCUUGCUAACUUAUCUCAAGAGAUGUCACCAUGACCAUUGUGGUCCAACACUCCUGGUGUCUGGUAUCAUGUGCUAGGACAACGCCAGCUUGUGGUGACUUAUGUAGCCUGCGGUUCCUCAGUUGUUGAGCACACGAAUAGGAGAGUGAAGGGAAAAAUAUACUAUAUAUCAACCCAAGGUUCUGGAGUGUAAUAUACCAAGAACUCAAAAACGGCACAUUUUAUUUUCUGUGCAAUGAUGAAUUAUAUUUUCAUCUGUCCUUCAUAUGGGUCAAUUUUGACAGAUUGAUGGUGAAGUCGAAUGUUUGAGUGUACCAUGAGGGGCUUUGCGUUCCGACUGGUUGCUUGCUAAGGGUUGCGCUUUAAGUUUGCAACGGUAGUUUGGUAGACUUGUUUGUUCCACUUCACCGCUGUGAACUUUUAAAUUUGUACUCUUAAUAUUGCACAUAGGCCUACUUGCUUGUUUUAAGAUUGUGGCAACCCUAAACUGGUUCACUGUCAAAUUUUUCUGCAAUAGUUUCAUUCAUACGUUUUUAGAUUGAAUUUUAUCUGCAGUUUGUAAAAACAAAGACUCUUCAGUUUGGCUAAUUGGUUAGCCUAAUGUAUUCGGCGUUGGAUCAGGACUCUACCAGAACUCACUUGCCAUCGCUGAAAGACCCUCCAGCCAGAUGGUUGUUCAAUGCUGAGCGCUCUUGCUGCGAGAGAUCUGGUGCAGAUUCCCAGAAUGGCCUGAGACAACGGAUUAUCAGUUGUAACGCUGGUUAUAAAUUAUAGUUAUUGGACUGCAAAACUCUUGUGUUCUGUAGACGUUGAUGGUCUGCGGAUGAAUCUUCCCCCUACAGGGCAUUGAGGACCGAACAAAGUUGCUGUACUGAUCUACCGGGCUCAUUGACCUGUUUUUGAACUUUGAACCAUGGCGAUCCCAAUGUCUUGACAUCUGCUACUUCACGAAUAAAAACAGUUUUUUUUCUAA